UCCAUGUGAUGGGAAACAUGGCCUUUUACCUGCCAUGAGCAUCACUGAGCUAGUGAUAUUUCUCCUACUUCUUGUUCAUUUUCUCUCUUAGGAGCAACCAGGUGCUAGUACAGAUGAUAUGAGUGAAGGCGAUGAAGCUACUGCAGAUGUGAUCAGAUACGUAGGACAAGACUCCAACAUCCACCUGAAGUCCUUGAAGUCAGACAUCAUUUCAGUUACAGGGAGAGAGAUGACUGCCAGCAAGUCAUCAACUCCCUUUUCUCAGAAAGAGUUUGAAGCCCUGGCACUGCUGGAACACCUACAAGUGCAGCUUAUAAAAACAGAAAUCCGUGCUCAGAAUGCAGAGCAGAGAUCUGAAGAUUUUGAGAAGAAGCUGGAAGAAGCCCUGGAGAGAAUCCAGGAGCUAGAGAGUGAGCUGGAGAAAAGGGGCAAAGUUGUCCCAGAACCAACACCUAAAGAAGGGCAAGAAAAAUGUUUACAAGAAAGCUUGCCUGAAGGGGAAGCCUGCUCAACUCCCAAAACUUCCACCUCUGGCCAGCCCAAGCAAUCCAGAAAAAGCAAAAAAUAAAAAAAUAACAAUAUCUGAGCAGUUUCUUUGUUACUAUUCAGAAUCGUUUCUCACCCCAGACUGCUGCCUUCAUUCUCUACUAGCCACCCCUCUCUCUGUGCCAUCUGGGCAUUAUGCUGUUCUUGUAGCUGGUUCUACCACUUCCACACCUGUCUUGUGCUUGUCCUCUACUUCCCCCCACA
RNAcentral lists this long non-coding RNA (750 nucleotides) under Chrysolophus pictus (golden pheasant). RNAcentral describes it as "lncRNA (ENSCPIG00010001455.1)". Lineage: Eukaryota; Metazoa; Chordata; Aves; Galliformes; Phasianidae. The record is from RNAcentral.